AUCGGCAUUGCUGAUGAGCGCUGAGACAAAUUCGGCGCUCGCAACUGCCGCGUCGCUUCAAACUUUUGACCACGGAUGUACUGGCACGGGUGAUUGGGCGAUGAUGAGGAAGGUCGGUGCGGUUUCGCCCCGGCCUUUUUUGUU
Molecule: small RNA, 144 nt
Filed under: Mycoplana azooxidifex
Lineage: Bacteria; Pseudomonadati; Pseudomonadota; Alphaproteobacteria; Hyphomicrobiales; Rhizobiaceae
Description: Alphaproteobacterial sRNA ar35
Rfam family: Alphaproteobacterial sRNA ar35
Source: Rfam by way of RNAcentral